Molecule: ribosomal RNA, 252 nt
Filed under: uncultured bacterium
Lineage: Bacteria
Description: partial 16S ribosomal RNA
Rfam family: Bacterial small subunit ribosomal RNA
Source: RNAcentral
UACGUAGGUGGCAAGCGUUGUCCGGAUUUAUUGGGUUUAAAGGGUGCGUAGGCGGUCUAUUAAGUCAGUGCUGAAAUAUCCCGGCUUAACCGGGAGGUGGCAUUGAUACUGAUGGACUUGAGUGCAGUCGAGGUAGGCGGAAUUGACGGUGUAGCGGUGAAAUGCUUAGAUAUCGUCAAGAACACCGAUAGUGAAGACAGCUUACUAGACUGUAACUGACGCUGAGGCACGAAAGUGUGGGGAUCAAACAGG